Long non-coding RNA from Paramacrobiotus metropolitanus, 838 nucleotides. RefSeq lists it as uncharacterized. The record is from RefSeq and is a predicted model, not a curated record. Lineage: Eukaryota; Metazoa; Tardigrada; Eutardigrada; Parachela; Macrobiotidae. The transcript is spliced from 3 exons.
AAGUUUCUUCGCGCUAUAACUGCUUUGGCCAACAUGGCAAAAUAUCGGAAAACAUUAAGACAACGCCUCGAUAAGAAUCGCUCGUGGGCUUAUCAAGAAAUUGUGAUAGAAGCUCUGGUUGUCCUGUGGAUUGCCUGUGAAAUUUCAGUUAAACUGGGGACGUGCAUUUACACGGAGUGGCAAGCAACCCGUGUCGAUCCCAGCAAGUUCUCGUUAUCGGGCUUGAGUUUGCUGUACUUCGUACAUGGAGAAAAUGGAUGCUUCUGGGACAGAAUGGUGUCUGCGUGGAAGCAGUCCGCUCCCAUAACCACUUCGCCUGCUGAGACUGCAGGCGUACGCCACCAGCACAACACGUGCCGCUGUUGCCUACGUGGCAACCUUCGCUACUAUCUGCACAACGGCCACCUUAGGUGUGUCCGUCGGCUUGUAUCUCUUCGUCAACCGUCACUGGCAAUUCCCGCGAUUCACCCAGCAUCUGCCGUACUGCCACCGCAUCACAGCGUUAUUCCGUUACGACCGGAACCGGCAAGAUUACGGGGCACCUUAUAAAGACCCUAACGCUUCACGAAUCGUCUUUUUGCUGCUCCAUUCAAUCUUGUUCGGUGCCAAUUAUUCCUGCUUUGUCUGGGUGUGGCUGAUCGUCUGCGCUCUGCCGGUGGUUUUAGUAUCGCGCGUGUUGGUGCUGGUCCUCGUUAACAAAUUGGGUGAAGAAGCAACGUUCCCAUUCUGGGCACUGUUCGUUUGUCUGCUGAGUGUUCACUGUAUCGGCCGCAUCUGGGGCGUCUGGAUGACGGAAUGCUACUCGACAUGGAUAAAAAAUAAGAUUCGAACUUUGCGC